GGACCUUGGGGACACCCCCUUGUCCUUCCCUUGGGGACCCCCAGGCCACCCUGACAUCCUCUGUUCUGUUUUGGGUCAGCACAGUGUCCCUGAUGUACCCGCAGUGUCCAAAACAGGAUCCCAGUGUCCCUUAGUGUCCCCAGCAGGAUAUUGGGAGACAUUUGGGCCCUGUUGGGGACAUGGGGGGGGACAUCAAGGCCUCUUGGGGACAUUGGAGGGAUAUUUGGGCUCUGUUGGGUGCCCUGAGGGAAUGCUGGGGAUAUUGGGCUCCUGUUGGGGACAUCAGGGAAGACAUUGAGUCCCUGUUGGGGACACUGAGGGGAUACUGGGGGUGUGUUGGGGGACAACAUGGCCCUGUUGGGGACAUUGAGGGGACAUUGGGGUCCUGUUGGAGACAUCAGGGGACAUUGGGCCAUGUGGGGACCCUGAGGAGACAUCGGGGUGCUGUGGGGGCCAUCAGGGGGAUGGCACACUGCAGGUGGGGGGGGGGACAGGGCCGGGGUUGUGACAUCACCUCUUCCUGUUUACUACCAGCUGUGCCACAGGCUUGCAUGUCACCCGAGUGUCCCCCGGCCGUGUCCCUGCCCUGUCCCUUGAGGCCAUGGAGCCCCGUGAGCUGCUGGAAGCGCUGGUGGACGUGGUGGCCACCCUGGGUGAGCUGGCAGCCACCAUCGCUGGGCCGGAUAGGGACGUGAGGCUGGGCAUGUUCCCAGGAUCCCUGCACAAGGCCCUGGACCCCUUCAUCAGUGACCUCCAGGACACCCUGGGCCACCACGGUCACACCUCCCUGGGCCAGGCCCUGGCUGCCUUUAGGGCCAACCUGGGGGCCACCUGGGCCCAUGUGACAGCUGCAGCCAGUGCCUGGCAGGGCUCGGUGGCCAAGCUUGAGGACAGCUGGGCCCAGCUGGCCAAAAAGGCCACCGAGCUCCGCAACGCCUGCAGGGACACGGCCACCAGGGAGGCCACCACUGCGGCCACCGCCAACACUCGGGCCAGGGACCUGCAGGGCACGGCCACCCGCUGGGAGCCAUCUCUGCACAACCUGGUGGCUGAGGCCUGGCAGCUGCCGCUGGCCCUGGACAAAAAGGAGGUGGCCUCAGUGGUGGCCGUGCAUACGGCCCGGAUGGCAGCAGCCAACAAUGAGGUGGAAGCAGCCACCAAGGCCAAGGAAGAGGCCAUAGUGGCCACCAGCGAGGCAGAGGCAGCCACCAGGAGGGGAAAGAAGGCAAAAGCAGCCCUGGGGCUUCUGCAGCGCUUGGUGGCCACGUGUGACAGAGCCAUGGCGUACCCCCGGGAGCUGCAGCGCCAGCUCAGGCACAUCGAGGCCACCCUGAAGGGGACAAAUCAGGCAUCCCCUGAUGUCCCCGAGGCCUUGGUGGCUGCGGUGGCCAAUGCCGAGCUGCUGUGGGAGGCCCGUGCCCGCCUGGCCACACGUCACCUAGUGGGGACACUUGAGGACAUCCGCUUGCUUGUCUCAAGUCACCCUGGUGACACUGGUGGCCCCAGUGGCCAUGCGGUGGCUGAGCAGUGCCAAAAAGCCAUCGAGGACAUCCCAAUGCUGCUGUGGGGACAGUGAUGUCACCACUGUGAUGUCAUCAAGGGUGGUGAAAUCACUGGGGACAUCCCUGGAGUCACCUGUCCACUCCCUCCUCCCUGCCAGAGAUUUGAGACAAAUUUGGGGAAUUUUCUGGGAAUUUUCAUUAAAAUUGCCCUAAAUCCUGAUGGGAAUUCCUGGAGUGAUGUCACCGGGGACACUCUGAGGACACUCUGGGGCCACUCAGGGCCACUCAGUGGCAGGUUGGGGGGGUGAAUGAGGCAGCUUUCCACCAUGGGUACAGCAGAUCAUUUCUCAAGCCUCCUCAAAACCCUUCAGGUUCCUUUCCCUCUGUGGGCAAUUUCACCUCAAAUGCCCAAUUUCCCUGCAUUGGUGACAGAUUGGGCCUCAGUUGUUCAAUUGCCCUUUUCCCUUUUAGGGCCUCUCCCCCAGGAGCUCUGGUCCCAUUGUCCUCCCCCUGCUCCCGUUUGCCGUGCCCUGACAGGGUCACUUCCCUCUGGGGGUGGGUCCUUGCACACUGGUUCCCCUCAGCAGUAGUGGAUGCCAUUAUCUUUGCUUUCCCCUUGGCUUUCUCCUCAUCCCUCCCUCCGUACAGUGACCUUCUGGGCUUCUUUUAUCAGGUCAUUCAAUCCUUUAUCCUGCCAUUCCCCCAGUCUUUCCAGCUUUUCCUUAUAUCCAGCCAAGCUUGAGUGACAAAGGUUAUCUUCAAUAAAGCUUGUCCAGCUAUUUUAUCA
RNAcentral lists this long non-coding RNA (2289 nucleotides) under Serinus canaria (Common canary). RNAcentral's name for it is "lncRNA (ENSSCAG00000003274.1)". The record is from RNAcentral. Lineage: Eukaryota; Metazoa; Chordata; Aves; Passeriformes; Fringillidae.